GACGAACCGUGCAAACGUUGUUCGGAAUCACUGGGCUUAAAGGGCGCGUAGGCGGCUCAUCAAGUCGGGGGUGAAAUACUUCAGCUUAACUGGAGAAGUGCCUUCGAUACUGGUGGGCUUGAGGGAGGUAGGGGUCUUUGGAACUUCUGGUGGAGCGGUGAAAUGCGCAGAUAUCAGGAGGAACACCGGUGGCGAAGGUGGGUCUCUGGGCCGAUACUGACGCUGAGGAGCGAAAGCGUGGGGAGCGAACAGG
Molecule: ribosomal RNA, 253 nt
Filed under: uncultured bacterium
Lineage: Bacteria
Description: partial 16S ribosomal RNA
Rfam family: Bacterial small subunit ribosomal RNA
Source: RNAcentral